UGCCUGCCCGGUGAUUUAAAAUUAAACGGCUGCGGUACUCUGACCGUGCAAAGGUAGCAUAAUCAUUAGCCUGUUAAUUUCAGGCUGGAAUCAAUGGCAAGACGAAGGAAAGGCUGUCUCUUUCUAUUAUUUUAGAAUUUUUCUUUUUGGUGAAGAGACCGAAAUAAGUAAGUGGGACGAGAAGACCCUAUUGAGUUUUAGUUAAUUUAUAGGAAAAGAUUUUUUUUAUUAAUUAACUUUGGUUGGGGCAACUGUUUAUAAAAUUAAACAUUAAUAAAAUAAAAAAUGAAUUAAUUCUUUAUUAAAAAACCCAGUAAUGAAGUUCUGUAAAUAAAAAAAAUUACCUUAGGGAUAACAGCGUAAUUCUUUUUGAGAGUACAUAUUGACAAAAGAGUUUGCGACCUCGAUGUUGGAUCAAGUUUUCCUGGAGGUGUAGUGGCUUUCAAGGGUUGGUUUGUUCAACCAUAAAAAUCUU
This 475-nucleotide ribosomal RNA is filed under the name Astrodendrum sagaminum. RNAcentral's name for it is "partial 16S ribosomal RNA". It matches the Rfam family "Bacterial large subunit ribosomal RNA", at positions 1856 to 2597 of the family's 2925-position model. The record is from RNAcentral. Lineage: Eukaryota; Metazoa; Echinodermata; Ophiuroidea; Euryalida; Gorgonocephalidae.